UCCCGAUGUUUAAAGAUUUAUCGGCUGCGGAUGGCCAUGCGGCGCAUAGCUAGUCGGCGGGGUAACGGCCCACCGAGGCGACGAUGCGUAGGGGUUCUGAGAGGGAGGUCCCCCACACUGGUACUGAGACACGGACCAGACUCCUACGGGAGGCAGCAG
RNAcentral lists this ribosomal RNA (159 nucleotides) under uncultured bacterium. Its description in RNAcentral is "partial 16S ribosomal RNA". It matches the Rfam family "Bacterial small subunit ribosomal RNA", at positions 192 to 354 of the family's 1533-position model. The record is from RNAcentral.